CGAACGGUAACAGGAAGCAGCUUGCUGCUUUGCUGACGAGUGGCGGACGGGUGAGUAAUGUCUGGGAAACUGCCUGAUGGAGGGGGAUAACUACUGGAAACGGUAGCUAAUACCGCAUAACGUCGCAAGACCAAAGAGGGGGACCUUCGGGCCUCUUGCCAUCGGAUGUGCCCAGAUGGGAUUAGCUAGUAGGUGGGGUAACGGCUCACCUAGGCGACGAUCCCUAGCUGGUCUGAGAGGAUGACCAGCCACACUGGAACUGAGACACGGUCCAGACUCCUACGGGAGGCAGCAGUGGGGAAUAUUGCACAAUGGGCGCAAGCCUGAUGCAGCCAUGCCGCGUGUAUGAAGAAGGCCUUCGGGUUGUAAAGUACUUUCAGCGGGGAGGAAGGGAGUAAAGUUAAUACCUUUGCUCAUUGACGUUACCCGCAGAAGAAGCACCGGCUAACUCCGUGCCAGCAGCCGCGGUAAUACGGAGGGUGCAAGCGUUAAUCGGAAUUACUGGGCGUAAAGCGCACGCAGGCGGUUUGUUAAGUCAGAUGUGAAAUCCCCGGGCUCAACCUGGGAACUGCAUCUGAUACUGGCAAGCUUGAGUCUCGUAGAGGGGGGUAGAAUUCCAGGUGUAGCGGUGAAAUGCGUAGAGAUCUGGAGGAAUACCGGUGGCGAAGGCGGCCCCCUGGACGAAGACUGACGCUCAGGUGCGAAAGCGUGGGGAGCAAACAGGAUUAGAUACCCUGGUAGUCCACGCCGUAAACGAUGUCGACUUGGAGGUUGUGCCCUUGAGGCGUGGCUUCCGGAGCUAACGCGUUAAGUCGACCGCCUGGGGAGUACGGCCGCAAGGUUAAAACUCAAAUGAAUUGACGGGGGCCCGCACAAGCGGUGGAGCAUGUGGUUUAAUUCGAUGCAACGCGAAGAACCUUACCUGGUCUUGACAUCCACGGAAGUUUUCAGAGAUGAGAAUGUGCCUUCGGGAACCGUGAGACAGGUGCUGCAUGGCUGUCGUCAGCUCGUGUUGUGAAAUGUUGGGUUAAGUCCCGCAACGAGCGCAACCCUUAUCCUUUGUUGCCAGCGGUCCGGCCGGGAACUCAAAGGAGACUGCCAGUGAUAAACUGGAGGAAGGUGGGGAUGACGUCAAGUCAUCAUGGCCCUUACGACCAGGGCUACACACGUGCUACAAUGGCGCAUACAAAGAGAAGCGACCUCGCGAGAGCAAGCGGACCUCAUAAAGUGCGUCGUAGUCCGGAUUGGAGUCUGCAACUCGACUCCAUGAAGUCGGAAUCGCUAGUAAUCGUGGAUCAGAAUGCCACGGUGAAUACGUUCCCGGGCCUUGUACACACCGCCCGUCACACCAUGGGAGUGGGUUGCAAAAGAAGUAGGUAGCUUAACCUUCGGGAGGCGCUUACCACUUUGUGAUUCAUGACUGGGGUGAAGUCGUAACAAGGUAACCGUAGGGGAACCUGCGGUUG
Molecule: ribosomal RNA, 1466 nt
Filed under: Escherichia coli DEC1D
Lineage: Bacteria; Pseudomonadati; Pseudomonadota; Gammaproteobacteria; Enterobacterales; Enterobacteriaceae
Description: bacterial SSU rRNA
Rfam family: Bacterial small subunit ribosomal RNA
Source: RNAcentral